AUGCACGCUGGCGGCGUGCCUCAUCCAUGCAAGUCGAGCGAACAGACGAGGAGCUUGCUCCUUUGACGUUAGCGGCGGACGGGUGAGUAACACGUGGAUAACCUACCUAUGAGACUGGGAUAACUUCGGGAAACCGGAGCUAAUACCGGAUAACAUGUUGAACCGCAUGGUUCAACAGUGAAAGACGGUCUUGCUGUCACUUAUAGAUGGAUCCGCGCCGCAUUAGCUAGUUGGUAAGGUAACGGCUUACCAAGGCAACGAUGCGUAGCCGACCUGGGAGGGUGAUCGGCCACACUGGAACUGAGACACGGUCCAGACUCCUACGGGAGGCAGCAGUAGGGAAUCUUCCGCAAUGGGCGAAAGCCUGACGGAGCAACGCCGCGUGAGUGAAGAAGGUCUUCGGAUCGUAAAACUCUGUUAUUAGGGAAGAACAAAUGUGUAAGUAACUAUGCACGUCUUGACGGUACCUAAUCAGAAAGCCACGGCUAACUACGUG
Molecule: ribosomal RNA, 496 nt
Filed under: uncultured bacterium
Lineage: Bacteria
Description: partial 16S ribosomal RNA
Rfam family: Bacterial small subunit ribosomal RNA
Source: RNAcentral